AAUGCAGAACAUUAGUUUAAAAGCAUCUAAAGUAUAUUAAAAUUUGAGGAGGAAAUUUUUAUUACAGAAUGAUGGAUACAUUGCAUAAAUCUUGCAAUGAAUAAAUGUGCUUUGUGCUGCUUAAUAUUCACGAGUGUUCCUUGGAAAGAUUCACUGGGAAGAUAUUUAAACAGGUGUCUGAAUGAAUUGUACACAAAAUUAUAUAACUCUAGUUGCUAUCCUAAUGCUAGGAAAAUAAAUCGACAUUGUUAUUUCUCUAAAUACACUGUUGUUUCAAGCUUUGGACUUAUUUCAAUGUCAUUAACAUUGACAACAGUAAGAAUAUUUUUUUCUUCCUAACUGAAAGUAUU
RNAcentral lists this long non-coding RNA (350 nucleotides) under Androctonus crassicauda. Lineage: Eukaryota; Metazoa; Arthropoda; Arachnida; Scorpiones; Buthidae. The record is from RNAcentral.